RNAcentral lists this ribosomal RNA (253 nucleotides) under uncultured bacterium. RNAcentral's name for it is "partial 16S ribosomal RNA". It matches the Rfam family "Bacterial small subunit ribosomal RNA", at positions 524 to 776 of the family's 1533-position model. The record is from RNAcentral.
UACGGAGGAUCCAAGCGUUAUCCGGAUUUAUUGGGUUUAAAGGGAGCGUAGGCGGCCAAUUAAGUCAGGGGUGAAAGACGGUGGCUCAACCAUCGCAGUGCCUUUGAUACUGAUUGGCUUGAAUGUAGUUGAGGUAGGCGGAAUGUGACAAGUAGCGGUGAAAUGGAUAGAUAUGUCGCAGAACACCGAUUGCGAAGGCAGCUGAAUGAGCUAUAAUUGACGCUGAGGCGCGAAAGCGUGGGGAUCAAACAGG